CAGUAGCCGCGGUAAUACGAAGGGGGCUAGCGUUGCUCGGAAUGACUGGGCGUAAAGGGCGCGUAGGCGGUUUUCCAAGUUAGAUGUGAAAUUCCUGGGCUCAACCUGGGGGCUGCAUUUGAUACUGGGAGGCUUGAGUAUGGAAGAGGGUCGUGGAAUUCCCAGUGUAGAGGUGAAAUUCGUAGAUAUUGGGAAGAACACCGGUGGCGAAGGCGGCGACCUGGUCCAUAACUGACGCUGAGGCGCGAAAGCGUGGGGAGCAAACAGGAUUAGAUACCCCCGUAGUCCCUGUCUCUUAUAC
This 301-nucleotide ribosomal RNA is filed under the name uncultured bacterium. RNAcentral describes it as "partial 16S ribosomal RNA". It matches the Rfam family "Bacterial small subunit ribosomal RNA", at positions 509 to 807 of the family's 1533-position model. The record is from RNAcentral.